RNAcentral lists this ribosomal RNA (468 nucleotides) under uncultured bacterium. RNAcentral's name for it is "partial 16S ribosomal RNA". The stretch from base 13 to 373 matches the Rfam family "Bacterial small subunit ribosomal RNA", at positions 40 to 399 of the family's 1533-position model. The record is from RNAcentral.
GACGAACGCUGGCGGCGUGCUUAACACAUGCAAGUCGAACGGAAAGGCCCUGCUUUUGUGGGGUGCUCGAGUGGCGAACGGGUGAGUAACACGUGAGUAACCUGCCCUUGACUUUGGGAUAACUUCAGGAAACUGGGGCUAAUACCGGAUAGGAGCUCCUGCUGCAUGGUGGGGGUUGGAAAGUUUCGGCGGUUGGGGAUGGACUCGCGGCUUAUCAGCUUGUUGGUGGGGUAGUGGCUUACCAAGGCUUUGACGGGUAGCCGGCCUGAGAGGGUGACCGGGGAAAUUGGGCGUGAGAUGCGGGCAUGGGCCGGAGGGGCGGGAGGGGGGGGGGACGGUGGACAAUGGGGGGAAGGGUGAUGCAGCCACGCCGGGUGGGGGAGGAGGGCGUGUGGGUUGAAGGGGGAGAGAGACGGGGGAGAAGUGUGAGGGAGGGUAAGGGGAAAAGAAGGAGCGGCGAACUACGUG